GUGGGGAAUAUUGGGCAAUGGGCGCAAGCCUGACCCAGCAACGCCGCGUGAAGGAAGAAGGCUUUCGGGUUGUAAACUUCUUUUAUCAGGGACGAAGGAUGUGACGGUACCUGAUGAAUAAGCCACGGCUAACUACGUGCCAGCAGCCGCGGUAAUACGUAGGUGGCGAGCGUUGUCCGGAUUUACUGGGUGUAAAGGGCGCGUAGGCGGGAUAGCAAGUCAGGUGUGAAAUCUAUGGGCUCAACCCAUAAACUGCACUUGAAACUGUUGUUCUUGAGUGUCGGAGAGGUAGAUGGAAUUCCUAGUGUAGCGGUGAAAUGCGUAGAUAUUAGGAGGAACACCAGUGGCGAAGGCGAUCUACUGGACGAUAACUGACGCUGAGGCGCGAAAGCGUGGGGAGCAAACAGG
This 408-nucleotide ribosomal RNA is filed under the name uncultured rumen bacterium. RNAcentral's name for it is "bacterial SSU rRNA". It matches the Rfam family "Bacterial small subunit ribosomal RNA", at positions 354 to 776 of the family's 1533-position model. The record is from RNAcentral.